Long non-coding RNA from Hippopotamus amphibius kiboko, 597 nucleotides. RefSeq lists it as uncharacterized. NCBI's taxonomy places the organism in Eukaryota, Metazoa, Chordata, Mammalia, Artiodactyla, Hippopotamidae. The transcript has 3 exons. The record is from RefSeq and is a predicted model, not a curated record.
UCAAGAGUGUAAACAGCGCCAUUUCUUCCACCAUCCCAAACAGUCCCAAGCGCUGAAGGAACUGGUGGGAAUUUCACCACCCCUAACCAGCAACCGGCGUUUAUUUUUGGAAUAGAUGCUGGUACCGUGAGAAACCCAAAGCAUAGAGGAGGGAAGAUGGUCACCUGUAUCGCACCACCGGAAGUCAGUACCCAAACACAAAAUCCAACAUGCAACCGCGGGGAGGAAGGCUGGAUGCGAAACAACCAUCUCGCACAGAGGUCCGAAGGACAGGCCUGAGCUACAGUGAAAGACCGUGUUCUCCUGAAGAGGCUAUUUUGGAAGAAUGUUGAUCAGAUUGUUGAAUGCCAAAAGAGGGGAAAAGGGAGCUGAUGCGCACCAGUUCCUGGGGAAGACUGAAAACUCUAACCCUCGAAACACCCGUGGACCAUGCCCCUUCACUUUUUGCUUUUAAUGGUAACAUUUUAACAUUCCUCUGGGAAUUGCAUCAACUGGGCAAAAUUCAAGAAUCACAGUUUAUCCUCUGAAACUAUACCUGGUGGAAAAAAACAGUUGUUUAUAAACUACAGAAGUUGCCAAUUUUCAAAUUAGGUCUGA